RNAcentral lists this ribosomal RNA (479 nucleotides) under uncultured bacterium. RNAcentral describes it as "partial 16S ribosomal RNA". It matches the Rfam family "Bacterial small subunit ribosomal RNA", at positions 28 to 507 of the family's 1533-position model. The record is from RNAcentral.
GACGAACGCUGGCGGCGCGCCUAACACAUGCAAGUCGAGCGACGAAAUUUUGACAGAUCCCUUUGCGGUGACGAUGAAGUGGAUUAGCGGCGGACGGGUGAGUAACAUGCGAGUAACCUGCCUUUGACAUUGGGAUACCUUCGGGAAUAUGGGAUUCAUACCAAAUGACACUAACUGAUCACAUGAUCAAUUAGUCAAAGAAAUUCGGUCAAAGAUGGACUCGCGGUUGAUUAGCUAGUUGGUGAGGUAACGGCCCACCAAGGCGACGAGCGGUAGCCGGCCUGAGAGGGUGAUCGGCCACAUUGGAACUGAGACACGGUCCAAACUCCUACGGGAGGCAGCAGUGGGGAAUAUUGCACAAUGGGGGAAACCCUGAUGCAGCGACGCCGCGUGAGCGAAGAAGGCCUUCGGGUCGUAAAGCUCUUUUAUGAGGGAAGAUAAUGACGGUACCUCAAGAAGAAGCCCCGGCUAACUACGUG